CUCAAAACUUUGACAGAAAAGAGAAAUACAUUAAUUCUAUUUCUAAACUAAUUAAUAUCAUGUGUAGAACAUUAAAUAUGCAUCAUUUUGGAGAGAAAGGAAUCAAUAACUUAGAAAUUAGGAUUGAUUGGUCCCCUAUAUGCAAGUUAUUGAUUCCUUUCUCUCUCUUUCUCCUCCUUCCUUUUUUUCUCACAAAGUUUUGAUUGCCAGUCGAAAAAGUGAAGGAGUAGGGACAUCUACGAUAAUGAGAGAGACUAGCUACAAUUGAAUGUUGUAGCAAAGAAUGAAAGAUGUGACCAAAACAAGUGCAAAUUGCACAAGUGAAAGAGGGUAGCUUCUUGUUGAAUCUCCUGUUGCCAAACUUGCCAGCCAUGAACUUGCUAAUUCUGCCUCCUGUAUUGCCCCUGACGCCAUCGACCCUCCUCCUUCUGUCCCUGUUGCCAUUGGAGACAGAUCUCUUGCAGAUUUCAGACUGGGCAAGUGAGGGCAAAAUGUGACUGUGUAAUCAGCACCAGUACACGUGAAAGUACUGGAAGCAUCAUCAAAAGCGUAGCUGUAUGAUUUCGGACACGCGUUCUUGAACAUUUCUGAGUACGUCGAAGGUUUACAAGUUGAAGGUGUAUUAUACGCGCCACUGCAACAGUACUCUGGGUUCCCAAACGCAUCACAAGCGCUCCGGCAUGCUGCGCCGCCCUCAACUUUCAGUUCAUUCGGACACUUCCUGUUAAGGUCCGUCACGCAACCCGUCGUCGCACAAGCACCUGAGCCGCCAUUCACCUCAACUACCAUUGGCAAAUUAUAGCCGUCGACCAGGCUGACGUCGUAGAAAUCUUGUGUGCCGGUGCCGAGGGUGAAUUCAGCUAAGGUGGCAGGCGGAGUAGCACUGUUGCCGUUGCAUUCGAUUUGGGAAGAGCCGCAGUCGGCAGUAGCGCAGGAGCCGUGGCCCGAAGCAUCAAAAUUGCAGCCAGUUCGUCCCCAGAAACGACCGGACCAACCUGUCGGGGCCUGAAAAGAGCGAGAGCAGCCCUUGGGGAGCUCAAAACCUGUAGUGUCUAGUUUAGGGCUUCCAAGAAUUCCAGGCCAUACACUGUAAUCGCAUUUGUUAACAAGUGUGAAUACAGCACCUGAAGCACCUUCGAAAAUGAAGAGAAUAAUCAGGCUGAGGAAUACAGUGUAAGAACAAGAAGUACAGGAGAAUAAUGAAGCCAUGUUCUUGUUAUUGUUCAAGAAGUUUAAGAAAUCUAUUUCUUUUUUGGGUUAGCGCAAGAAUAAG
This 1273-nucleotide unclassified non-coding RNA is filed under the name Hevea brasiliensis (rubber tree). The record is from RNAcentral. Lineage: Eukaryota; Viridiplantae; Streptophyta; Magnoliopsida; Malpighiales; Euphorbiaceae.